RNAcentral lists this long non-coding RNA (1881 nucleotides) under Marmota monax (woodchuck). The record is from RNAcentral. Lineage: Eukaryota; Metazoa; Chordata; Mammalia; Rodentia; Sciuridae.
GUUCUGUCCAGGUGAAGACCCCCCGAGGCGUCGUGAAGGACAGGCCGUGGAGGCGUAUUCACGUGGUGGACCCCACACGGCAAGCCGAAGGCCCCAGGCGCAGCACAGGAGCUGGCCGUGGUCAGGUGGGUGCGAGAAGCAUCAGCAAGGAGGACAGGCAGGGUGGCCGGCGGGUGGAAAGUGCAGAAACAGGCCGCCCUGGCCGUGGCGCGAGAGUGGGAAGGCGACGGGUCGGGGCCCAUGACAGGGUGCCGUGAGUGCACCUUGUGGUUGAAUUUAAAAACUGGGUUUCCAUUUGUUUUAACAACCUCCGCUGUGGAGGGCGGAGCUCCAGGGCACGGCCAGGUCACGGUGACCAGCCUCCAAGUGGCCUGACUUCGCAAGCUGCUCAAGCCCAGAGACUAUUUUUUGUCCGUCACCACUGGAGUCUGCAAUGUGGCCGGCUCCACGUCCUCGUCCUCCCCGUCAUGACUUCCGAGGUGUCUGGGGACAGUGCAGUCCCCCUGCCUCCCCCCUCCUCCUGUUCUGGGAAGGGAGGGGACGUCUGGCCCACCGGCUGCAGCCCGGCUUCCUGUUUAGAGGCUCGCUCAAGCCACAAUUAUCCCAGCGCAAGACGCAGCUCCUCAGCAGGCCAGACGUCCUCCGUGGGUUUGCAGAAGGGCAGGGUUGUCAGGGCGGCCACUCCCACAGAGGGACAGACGGGCAGUCCAGACUCUGGAGGCCUCUGGGGGCCCCACAGUGCCUGCGUCCUCUCUGUUGGGACCGGUGACGCCUUGGGAGAGCAAACGGAGCAUUCUCUUAUUCCGCCUGGGGACAGCGGGGGGCCUGGCUUCCGCCCUUUGCUCUGGAUGCUGGCGUCUUUUUAUUACGACAUUUUUCAAACAUGCAGAAAAACCACAAGUGCACAAACCACAUGGCUGUUCCACUUACCACCCAGUCACGGGGUCACCAGCGCGUUGUUGUACUGGCUUCCUGCAGGAACACACACACACACACACACACACACGACCCCCCACACUCCAAAUCACAGACAUCGUGACGUCGCACCCCGGAUGCUUCCUUCCCUAAGGACAUCCAGGAAAAUAAGGAGGACUUUCCACACAGCCACAGAACCAUGCCCACGUCCAGCACAGUGGGCAAUGAUCCCUUCAUCCUGCCUGAUGUCCACCUCAUAUUCCAAUUGCCUUGACUCCAAACAUCUUGCAUAGUUUUUUAACAAAACCAAGGUCCAACUGAGGGUCACUGCAGGUGACGUUUCUUUGCCUUUUCUCUGUCACAUCGCAGCACAUCCUCUUCUCCCUCUUAAAGAAAUCAGUCGGGUCCCUGGACCCCCGGAGGCUUGACAGGAAACCACAGUGACGGAGAUGCCAAGUCGUCACGGGAGGGGCACUCAGCACGCAUCCCCAAGGGGGCGGCUUCCCCUUGCAGCUAGCGAGUGCCCGGGUGAUGUUUGCCCCUCCUCUUUAUGCUUUGUCCUGGGGUGGAGAAGUGGGGGGCGUGCAGUCUCAGGUGGAGUCUCAGGUGGCCGAAGCAUAGGUUUUCUUCCAAUUUGGACAUGGGGACACGGGCUCAGAGCCAAGGAGCCUGCCCACCACCCCCGGGGACUUGAAAGCUGGUCCUGGGCUCCUAGCCACUCUGCCACGUCACCGGGACUUUAACUGCCACCCAGACUACUUUUCUGGGGCUGCGUCCCUGCCCCAGGGGAAGCCAGGCCAGGAGUAGGAAGCCUGAGAUGGGCAAGUCCAGAUUUGCACUAGCUGGGACCCGAUACCUGAAGGUCACCGAGGCCUGCAUCUGACCUUCACCUGUUUGCAGUCUUCGGGUGUCAUUUUGAAAUCUGUUCAUGACAGGGACUUAAUAAAACAUGUUAAAUAGUGUUCA